AUUGAGCUGAGGAGUUCCAUAAUAGGACGAAACGACCGUCCAAU
This 44-nucleotide non-coding RNA is filed under the name Schistosoma mansoni. Lineage: Eukaryota; Metazoa; Platyhelminthes; Trematoda; Strigeidida; Schistosomatidae. The record is from RNAcentral.